GACGAACCGUGCGAACGUUAUUCGGAAUCACUGGGCUUAAAGGGCGCGUAGGCGGGCUACUAAGUCAGACGUGAAAUCCCUCGGCUUAACCGGGGAACUGCGUCUGAUACUGGAUGGCUUGAGUUUGGGAGAGGGAUGCGGAAUUCCGGGUGUAGCGGUGGAAUGCGUAGAGAUCCGGAAGAACACCGGUGGCGAAGGCGGUUGGCUGGGCCGUUGCUGACACUGAUGCGCGACAGCGUGGGGAGCAAACAGG
Molecule: ribosomal RNA, 253 nt
Filed under: uncultured bacterium
Lineage: Bacteria
Description: partial 16S ribosomal RNA
Rfam family: Bacterial small subunit ribosomal RNA
Source: RNAcentral